Molecule: long non-coding RNA, 405 nt
Filed under: Manihot esculenta (cassava)
Lineage: Eukaryota; Viridiplantae; Streptophyta; Magnoliopsida; Malpighiales; Euphorbiaceae
Description: long non-coding RNA (MESC_LNC006024)
Source: RNAcentral
UUUUAAAGCAAAUGAUGGACUUUUUAGCAUGUUUCACGCAUCAUGAAUGCCAUGAGAUGUACUAGGUUGUUUGCAUUAGAAUUCACGAAUAUGUUGCAUUGCAUACUUUAUUAUGGAUUGAUGUGGGUGAACGUUGGAUGAUCCAAAGCCCUCGAUCUAUGACAUGACGAUGUGAUAUGUACAGUACGAAAUGUAAGACCAGUGGGACCCAUUCUACGUUCGCUGGCACCAUGUAAGGGAAAGACCAGGACCCAUUCUACGUUCUGGCACAGUUGGACUGUUAUGACAUGCUAUGUUAUGUAAGAGAAAGACCAGGACCCAUUCUACGUUCUGACACAGUUGGACUAUGUAGAGGGCUAUUGGUGACAAGUUCAUCCUUGAUGUGAUUAGCUGUGAUGUGAUGCA